UGAAGUGUUAGGCCGGUGGGCUAGGAG
RNAcentral lists this non-coding RNA (27 nucleotides) under Rattus norvegicus (Norway rat). Lineage: Eukaryota; Metazoa; Chordata; Mammalia; Rodentia; Muridae. The record is from RNAcentral.